UACAGAGGUCUCAAGCGUUGUUCGGAAUCACUGGGCUUAAAGGGCGCGUAGGCGGGUGCUCAAGUCCGUGGUGAAAUCCUCCGGCUCAACCGGAGAACUGCCUCGGAUACUGGGUGCCUCGAGGGUGGUAGGGGUAUGCGGAACUAUCGGUGGAGCGGUGAAAUGCGUUGAUAUCGAUAGGAACUCCGGUGGCGAAGGCGGCAUACUGGACCACCUCUGACGCUGAGGCGCGAAAGCCAGGGGAGCAAACGGG
RNAcentral lists this ribosomal RNA (253 nucleotides) under uncultured bacterium. RNAcentral describes it as "partial 16S ribosomal RNA". It matches the Rfam family "Bacterial small subunit ribosomal RNA", at positions 524 to 776 of the family's 1533-position model. The record is from RNAcentral.